Long non-coding RNA from Syngnathoides biaculeatus (alligator pipefish), 4593 nucleotides. RefSeq lists it as uncharacterized. Lineage: Eukaryota; Metazoa; Chordata; Actinopteri; Syngnathiformes; Syngnathidae. The record is from RefSeq and is a predicted model, not a curated record. The transcript is spliced from 2 exons.
CCUUGCUGCAGCAGGAGAGGCGGCACUGCGAGGGAGUUGAACGGGUUCAUUUGAGAGUGUGUGAGUGUGUACGCAGGAGAGCGGGAGGAAGCUUUGUGUGAGCGAAAGAGGAGUGGGAGAAUGUGGGUGACUACAGCUGUCGUAGCCACCAUCCGAAGACCAAACCACUUUUCAAUUUUUUUCUUCCUUUUUUUCCUUCCGGUUUUUUUGUUGUUUUUCAUUAUUAUUGUACAUGUCUAUUUUUAUCUGUGUGUGCAUAUAUUGAUGAGCAGCUAUGGGCUUGCACUCGUUGCCCCCUCGCUCGUCUUCCACUGCACGGGAGGUAGGCAGACACCGUACGAUAGAGAGGACAGCGUGCCUCUCUUUGUGACUGCCCUUGGGCUGACUUGUUCCUCUGCUGGGUGCGGCACUGCAGCGCGCCUUCAGGGGAGCACUCGGAGGCCCCCCAGAGGGCCGAGCUGCACUGGAGAGGGGAUCCCAACUGUAAGUAUAGGGGCCUCAGACCCCACACCCCACCCUCUUCACCACCUCAUCCCCACAACCACCCCCUAGCUCACUGCCUCUAUUCAUUCACAUGUGUGCACCGAGGAAGGAAUGUUGCCCCCUCACUUUUGCCUCUUUUACCCACUCCCUCCACUUCUUUUUGCUCCCUUCUUCUUCAUUGUACAUUGUGCAUUCUCCUUCCUUCUCAAAUCAGAUUCAUAGCCAUUAACACAUUCAAAAGAAACUCACUUGUUAUCGUUGAGAUGUUAAAGUUUAUUUAGUUGUCAGCUAGAUCACAGGGGCUUGUUUAGAGUGACAGAGCGCGAUGGUGGGGGUGGGUGGUGAGGGCUCUAUGACUUGGGGGUUGAUGGAGAGGGGCCGCUGUGGGGUCUGGCUCCACUCAGUAUUGAAGUCGACGACUGUAGCGUGCUGACUCAUGCUCCAUCUUACCAAUUGGGAGCAUGUGAGUGCGUGCGUGUGUGAGCGUGAGUGUGGUCACUCCCCUGUGUGUCUCACAUACGCACUUGCACUCUGUGCCCCGCCUGAACUCAGCACUGACUGUAGACUGGGGCGGGGGCAGUCAGCACUGCCCCCCCCCCCCUCCACUAGUGACAAUCCAUCAAAACCUUCCCGUCUUGAACAAAAAGAGCCAGUUGUAGCUGUAGCCCGUGUCUUCUCCAACGUUAUCUGUUCUUUCACUCUGUCGCUGCAAGUGAUUCAUCGCAAACAAGAUUUCCUUUUUUUUUUUUUUUUUUUUUUAAUGGGCUUAUGUGGAAUGAGAAGGAGGAAAAGACUUUAAGUUGCGCAAAGACAGAUUAAGGCGUUUCGAGAACAAUGUUCCUUUUUUCUUGUAACUCGAGCCCGCUGCAGUUACAGGAGCGCGGCGAGGCAAUUUUACUCGCAGGCUGGGGUCAGCGGGGGCGUUCGGAGGGAGGACGGUGGGGGCUGCGACGUGUUUUAUUACCCCUGAUCUCUAUCUGUCCUGCACAUGGAGCUGCAUCCGUCGCCGGCUUACAGCGCGGGACGACGCUGUGCUCACUCGUCAGCGGAGGACAGCUAAACCCAGAAGGUUGCGAUCACCUCGCUUUAUUGGCAACGCGGCAUCGGGAGGACAAUUCAAGAGGGAAGGAUCAUCCCUUUUGCACCUCACCUUUCUCCUCAAUGUCAGCUUACUCGAUAGUUAAAGUUCCAUCUGUACUUUGGUGCUUGUCCCGGUGAGUGCGUUGCUCAAGUAGACACGCUGCUGGAAGUAAUUCAUUUAACCAACAAACAAAAAAAAAGUCACAGCUUCAACUUGUUUUUUUCCUUCCAUCAUUUACUGUUUUGCCUGGCUGUUUUCAGAGUAGUUUGAUGAGCUGUGUAAGUGUUUGCACAAGCUCUCAAGUCAGCUGCGGUAAAGUGUUCCAAGCCGUUGGAGACACCGCACGCUUCUUUCUUCUUGCGCGCCUCUCGCUACUUCCCAAGGCUAAACGAUAAAAAAAAACGGCCCGUGUCGGUCCUUUUGUCUGCCCUUAUUGUUCUGCCUGCGGGAAGGGAGCAUGAGUCAGCUACCAGAUGCAAGCAUGUAUUGAAUCACGACGACGACUGCGAAGGGAAACGAGAGAGUAGGCUAGUGCCGUUGCGUGUGCUCUCCUUUUUAUCUCCUAAUAGACUACUAGUGUGUCUAAACUAGCAGCCCGCACGAACUUACUGAUAAGUGCUUCUCUUUGUGAAAACCUUCAACUCGGCAUUAUGACUGUAAGCUCAUGAUAGGCAUUUAUGUAAAAUGUUGUUUUUUUUUUCACUUACUGCCUCUCUGUCUAGUUUCUUGUAUUUGUCAGUGAAGAGUUCUAUUUUCUGGUAUACCGCCGCCACGCUACACUGGACUGAGCGCAGCAGGCGCUCGAGCCGGCACAAGCGAGAGAGGGAAGGAGGAGCAGGAGGGGGGUGGGGUGGGGGGGAGCCUCAAGCGAGCGCACAGUGAAAAGCGUUUGUGCCGCUACCUCAGCUGAACUCUCGAAUGAACCCGUUGCACUGCCUUCAGUCGCAGAGCCAAGAGACGAAUCAGUCGAGUAGAUUCGACACAGAGAGGUACUGUUGGGCGGGCUGAAGCCUACGCUGGGCUCCCCACAUUCUCAUCUAGCGCUUUCCCCCUGUCAUGGUAAGUGGGAUUAUUAGGCUUUGUUCUGUCCACUGUCCUCGUGCUCAUCCGUGCCGGUCACUCUCCUGGCCUGUCACAUAGCUUAUCAGACUGGUGUUGGCUGUUAAGAUUACAAGGCGACAACAGUCUGUAGGCUGUCUGACAUUCUGGGCUCUUUCAUCUGACCAGCAUCCUGUUUUGUCCUCCUCCUCCUCCUCCUUCUCUCUUUGUCUCAGCUAGCAUCAGUUCCCAUUUCAGGGUGGGUGCGCUACUGUGAUACUUCCCUUUAUCCCAACCGCCUGUCAAGCAUUGGAGAGAUGCUUUAUUCUUUAUUUCUUCCUCCACUCUGAUAUCUGGGACCGGUUCAAAUGUGGAACAACAGUAUAUUUGUUGCAUUCACGUGUGUCAGUGCAGAUGAACUCACGUCAGUUGUGUGUUUGUGUGGGUGUGGGUAUGGGUGUUCCAGUGAGCUGUGUCCACUUCAAUUUCUAGAGAAUCCAGACAGUACACACCUCAUUGCAACACUUGCUAUUGUGACAGCACUCGUCAGUACUGUAUAGUACACACUGUGAGUGUGCUCUUCCCUUUUCCACUUCCCUGUCCUUAACUCUUCACUCUUGCUAAAUUAUUUUGUUCUACUGGAAUAACUUUGGGGUUGGCAUUUAUCCUUUUUGUGUCAGUCAGUCUCAAUUGUUGUGUUUUAAUGUAGACAAGGAUCAACUUUUCUCAGUCCUAAAACCACUCUGCUUUUCUUUUCCAAUGAUCUACUUUUCCUCCUCGAAAUUGUUUUAUAUUGUGUAACUGCCUCAUAUUACAUGUAACACUAUGCUGUAGGUUUUUUUUUCACUUCAAAUAAAGCAUUUUUUAAGCAUGUCUCUGAUCCUUAUUGAAGCUAUGACCACUCUGCGCUACAGAAAUUGACCCUGAAGCCUCUCAAGAAUCUCACGUCAGCCAAGAGAGGAUGAGGAGGAUCCAUCACCAUGUCUAACGUUUCACAUUCAAGCGCUUAUCACAUUACUGAUUUGCUCUCUCCACACUGACAUCAUAUCCAUUUUGAAUUGCAACCAAAAUGUUUUUUAUAGCACAUCCCUGAAAAUGUCAAUACCACACUCCUUUACCAUGAAUACACCAUAAAACAUUUAAAUAAUGAAUAUUUAUGGUCUAUAUAGCUUAAUUCACUUUGGUUUUUUUCGAGUUAGUUAUAUUUGAAUAGCGAUCAUUUCAAUUUCUGUGUGUGUGUGUGAUAAACUGUGUGCCCUAUAUACUGGCUAAUGACCAGUCCCAGGUGUACUAGCCUGCCUCUCAUCCAAAUUCAGAUGGGAUAGGCUCGUGUAUACACGAUGAUGAGGACCACCACUAAGAAAAUAGAUGGCUGGACAUGUGACUGCUUUUUUUUUUUCCCAAAGGGAAAAAAAUAGUGCCAUGGCCUUAACUGUGUGAAGCAAAUGUCAUAUUUGUGACUUGGAUGCAUGGAAUUCUUUAUCCAACCACACCCAGAGCACCACAGACAAGAAAAAGUGGACACCCACCCGGCCCCGCCCUGCCCCCUGAGGUCCGCAUGGAAACCCAACAUGCAAAUUCUCCCUGCCCGAACAAACACGGAGACCAAAAUUCAAUGUGCGUUCACUAAUUCCUACAUUCAGAGGGUGCCAAUUUGAAUGUGUCUUGCUUUUAAUUCCUGGCACACUGACCCACUCUCCCCCCGAGUCCUUCUCGUCUCUCAGAGCGGUGCUGUCUGUGAAAUUCUGAAAUAUUCUGUAACCUCAUAAAAACUCCCCCUUAAGUCUUCUCUUUAUUUCAUUUACCAUUUUGUUCCCUUCCCAGUUGUUAUCUGUGGAAGUACAGAGCAUGACUUUUAAUAUUCCCCCUACCCGUAAUCUCCCCCCUCCUACAAAGUCAAAUGACAGUCCUUUGUCUUAUCUAUAAAGCAGACCAAGUUUGUUUGUUUUUGUUUUUUUUUUUUUAUAAACUACAAACUGACUUGAUGUUAU